AUUGACGCUGGCGGCAUGCCUUACACAUGCAAGUCGAACGGCAGCACGGGUGCUUGCACCUGGUGGCGAGUGGCGAACGGGUGAGUAAUACAUCGGAACGUACCUUAUCGUGGGGGAUAACGCAGCGAAAGCUGUGCUAAUACCGCAUACGCCCUGAGGGGGAAAGCGGGGGAUCGCAAGACCUCGCGCGAUUAGAGCGGCCGAUGCCUGAUUAGCUAGUUGGUGGGGUAAAAGCCCACCAAGGCGACGAUCAGUAGCUGGUCUGAGAGGACGAGCAGCCACACUGGGACUGAGACACGGCCCAGACUCCUACGGGAGGCAGCAGUGGGGAAUUUUGGACAAUGGGGGCAACCCUGCUCCAGCAAUGCCGCGUGAGUGAAGAAGGCCUUCGGGUUGUAAAGCUCUUUUGUCAGGGAAGAAACACCGGCUCUAACACAGUCCGGGAAUGACGGUACCUGAAGAAUAAGCACCGGCUAACUACGUGCCAGCAGCCGCCGUAA
This 500-nucleotide ribosomal RNA is filed under the name uncultured bacterium. RNAcentral's name for it is "partial 16S ribosomal RNA". It matches the Rfam family "Bacterial small subunit ribosomal RNA", at positions 29 to 523 of the family's 1533-position model. The record is from RNAcentral.